This 437-nucleotide long non-coding RNA is filed under the name Numida meleagris (helmeted guineafowl). RNAcentral describes it as "lncRNA (ENSNMEG00000003432.1)". Lineage: Eukaryota; Metazoa; Chordata; Aves; Galliformes; Numididae. The record is from RNAcentral.
GGAAGCCCUAAUCUGUGCAGUGUCAUGCACUAUGCAUCACCACAAGGGAAUCUCCAGUGACUUGUUAUUAAUGAGAGGGAAGAGGACUUCAUACUCAAAUGGUAUGAGGAAUUAACUGCCAGGCUCAUUUUUCCUGCCCAUACAACCUGAGGUAAAUGCAUUACUUUCCUACAGUGCAGAACACAGGAAAGCAAGGAAUGUUUUUACAUUGUCUCAUUUUCUUCUUGUUUCCAUGUAUUUUAAAGGAAAAUAAAACAUUGUAUGGAACAACAACAGAAGGAAGAGGAAAACAUGUAAUAAUGAUUAACAUGCAGAUCUUUAGUGUCUGAAGUUCCUGAACUGAAUUAGAGGCAGUGGCAAAGUGACAUGAAGUAUAUUCAUGGGACAAAAGCUUUUUAAACCCUUCUAAAUUUUGUUCAAUAAACAAACAAACAAAC